CGCUAGCCCGCCCGGUUGGUUUCCAUCGCCAACAUGGCAGCGCCGCAGGGGCUCCACGCUUCGGCCGCCCCCGAGAUUUGCGUCCCCUCGUUCGGUAAACCCCGCCAACGUACCCGAGCCCACCCCCAUGCACCACACCAACUCGUAACUAGUAAUUACUCCCUCCGUUUCUAAAUAUAUGUCUUUAAAGAAAUUUCAUUAAUGAACUACAUACGAAUGUAUAUAGA
Molecule: long non-coding RNA, 227 nt
Filed under: Hordeum vulgare
Lineage: Eukaryota; Viridiplantae; Streptophyta; Magnoliopsida; Poales; Poaceae
Description: long non-coding RNA (HVUL_LNC016752)
Source: RNAcentral